GACGAUGAUCAUUACCCUUCAACUGGGUAUUCUAUUCCACUUCUACUUUUAAAUUAAAGGGUAUUCUGAAAGAGGUAUUUCUUUUAUUUUCACAAUAGCUUUCUUUUGAAUCCAUUUCAGUUCGAUUAGAAGGAUAGAAAAGGCGAUGAGAAUGGGAAAAAAAAAUAAAAUAUUUUAUUUUAAUGAGUUUCCCCUUUUGAGGUUCCCCUUUUUGCAAUUUUCUUAUUAUCAAUUCCAUUCAUUUAUUUUAUAGAAUACUUUUUUAUUCUAUAUAUCUAGAAAAAAUCUUUAUUUUGUAAACUAAAAAAUACAAUAGUCAAUAUCCUUAUAUAGAUAUACUUAAUUAUAUCAUAAAGAAUCUUAGAUAUAUUUCGAAUAGAUAGAAAUAGUAAAUUUGAAUUGAGACACAUAUUCUAUGACAGAUUUUAACUUACCCUCUAUUUUCGUACCUUUAGUAGGCUUAGUAUUUCCGGCAAUUGCAAUGACUUCCUUAUUUCUUUAUGUGCAGAAAAAUAAGAUUGUCUAGAAACGACGGGGCCAAAUUUUCUCAAUGUAUUUCCAGGAUCAUAAUACAGAUAUUUUUUUGUGUAAGUACUAUAAUAUGAUAGGGUAUGUAGCUCUUUCUACACACAAAUGAAAAACGUCUAUGGAUGCAGAUAUAAGCUACGAGCAUAAAUGCAUGCAUAUGCGUAGCCGACUAUAGCGAGUUUUUUUUUUUAAGUGGAUCCACUAAUUUUUUUUGAAUAGAAAGUCAAUGUAUCUAACCAAUUAUUUCACAGGAGUACUAGCUACUGAAGGCUAUUUCAGAAUCAAAAAAAGUAAAGUAAAAAUCAUUUAGCUUAUUCUCUCAAUUUCAAUUGACCGCUACUGGAUUUAGUAUAUCUAAUAUGAAUUGGCGAUCAGAACACAUAUGGAUAGAACUUCUAAAAGGUUCUCGAAAAAGAGGUAAUUUUUUCUGGGCCUGUAUUCUUUUUCUAGGUUCAUUAGGAUUCUUAGCGGUUGGGGCUUCCAGUUAUCUUGGUAAGAAUAUGAUAUCUGUACUUCCAUCUCAACAAAUUCUUUUUUUUCCACAGGGGGUCGUGAUGUCUUUCUACGGAAUCGCGGGCCUAUUCAUUAGCUCCUAUUUGUGGUGCACUAUUUUAUGGAAUGUAGGCAGUGGUUAUGACCGAUUCGAUAGAAAAGAGGGAAUAGUGUGCAUUUUUCGUUGGGGAUUCCCUGGAAUAAAACGUCGCAUCUUCCUUCAAUUCCUUGUGCGGGAUAUCCAAUCAAUUAGAAUUCAGGUUAAAGAGGGUCUUUAUCCUCGUCGUAUCCUUUAUAUGGAAAUCCGGGGCCAGGGGGUCAUUCCCUUGACUCGUACUGAUGAGAAGUUUUUUACUCCACGAGAAAUUGAACAAAAAGCUGCCGAAUUGGCCUAUUUCUUGCGUGUACCAAUUGAAGUAUUUUGAGUACCAAUUGCAAUUUUUUGCAAUUGUAAGGGGAUUUUCGAGUAUUUAUCUAAAGUAAAGGAAGGAACAAACGAGGAUAAGAGAAAAUUGCUUCGAAUUUGUUUUGUCCAAGUGAGAUAUAUGGCAUACUAUUCUUCCAUUUUUAUACGAAAGGCCUUUUUUUAUUUCUCUAUUCCACUCCAUUUAGAUCUAAGAAAGAACCCAAUACAAUGAAAUUCCACUAGUAUACAAAAAGAGAAAUAGAUACAAACACAAGGUCUCAAACCUUGUUAUAGAAUUUUUGCUUCAAAGAAAAGAAAUAUCAUAUAUAUUCAGCUUACAGAUCAAAAAUGAAAAAAAGAAAGCAUUGCCUUCUUUCUUAUAUCUUGUAUUUAUCGUACUUUUGCCCUGGGGAGUCUCUUUCUCUUUUAACAAAUGUCUGGAACUUUGGAUUAAGAAUUGGUGGAAUACCAGGCAAUCCGAAACUUUCUUAACUGAUAUUCAAGAGAAAAGGAUUCUAGAAGGAUUCAUAGAAUUAGAGGAACUUUUUCUCUUGGACGAAAUGAUAAAAGAGAAACCGAAGACACAUGUACAAAAACUUCCUAUAGGAAUACACAAGGAAAUAAUACAAUUGGCCAAAAUAGAUAAUGAGGAUCAUCUCCAUAUCAUUUUGCAUUUCUCAACAAAUAUAAUCUGUUUGGCUAUUCUAAGUGGUUCUUUUUUUCUGGGUAAAGAAGAACUUGUCAUUUUGAAUUCUUGGGUUCAGGAAUUUUUCUAUAACUUAAAUGAUUCAAUAAAAGCUUUUUUUAUUCUUUUAGUUACUGAUUUUUUUGUUGGAUUUCACUCUACCCGCGGUUGGGAACUACUAAUUCGUUGGGUCUACAACAAUCUUGGAUGGGCUCCUAACGAGCUAAUUUUCACUAUUUUUGUUUGUAGUUUUCCUGUGAUUCUAGACACGUGUUUGAAAUUUUGGGUCUUUUUUUGUUUAAACCGUCUAUCUCCUUCACUUGUAGUCAUUUAUCAUUCAAUUAGUGAAGCAUAAACUCACUCAUUUCAUUUCCUAAUAUUAAUCAAAUUAGCAUAUUUCUUUUCUUCCUUUAGAAAUAGAAAGAAAGCCCUUUUCCUUUUUAACAAAAUUCUUUCUAUUUCUACCUGCUCAAGGUAUUCAUCAUUCUAGUACAACUAUUGCAGUAGAAUGACAACAGACUCGUGUAUAGGGAACUAGAUUAGCUUAGCUACCUAUCUAAUUUAUUGUAGAAAUUCCGGGAUCCGCGAUUGGACAUGGAAAAUAGAAAAACUUUUUCUUGGUUAAAGGAACAGAUGAUUCGAUCGAUUUCUGUAUCGAUCAUGAUAUACGUAAUAACUCGCACAUCUAUUUCAAACGCAUAUCCCAUUUUUGCGCAGCAGGGUUAUGAAAACCCGCGGGAAGCAACUGGACGAAUUGUAUGUGCCAAUUGCCAUUUAGCUAAUAAGCCUGUGGAUAUUGAAGUUCCCCAAGCAGUGCUUCCUGAUACUGUAUUUGAAGCAGUUCUUCGAAUUCCUUAUGAUAUGCAGCUGAAACAAGUUCUUGCUAAUGGUAAAAAGGGAGGGUUGAAUGUGGGUGCUGUUCUUAUUUUGCCCGAGGGAUUCGAAUUAGCGCCGCCCGACCGUAUUUCUCCUGAGUUGAAAGAAAAGAUAGGAAAUCUCUCUUUUCAGAGUUAUCGUCCCAAUAAAAAAAAUAUUCUUGUGAUAGGCCCUGUUCCCGGUAAGAAAUAUAGUGAAAUUGUCUUUCCCAUUCUUUCCCCCGAUCCCGCUACAAAAAAAGACGUUCAUUUCUUAAAAUAUCCCAUAUAUGUAGGGGGAAACCGAGGAAGGGGACAGAUCUAUCCUGACGGUAGCAAGAGUAACAAUACGGUCUAUAAUGCUACGUCAACAGGUAUAGUAAAAAAAAUACUACGUAAAGAAAAGGGGGGAUAUGAAAUAUCCAUAGUGGAUGCAUCGGAUGGACGCCAAGUGAUUGAUAUUAUACCUCCCGGGCCAGAACUUCUUGUUUCAGAGGGGGAAUCAAUCAAGCUUGAUCAACCAUUAACAAGCAAUCCUAAUGUAGGAGGGUUUGGUCAGGGGGAUGCAGAAAUAGUGCUUCAGGAUCCAUUGCGCGUCCAAGGCCUUUUGUUUUUCUUCGCAUCUGUUAUUUUGGCACAAGUUUUUUUGGUUCUCAAAAAGAAACAGUUUGAAAAGGUUCAAUUGUACGAAAUGAAUUUCUAGAUCCUGGGAUUUCUUACCAUCAAGUGAGAAAAAAGCCUCGAUUUCUGGAAUUCCUUAUUUCUAUCUCAUGCAAAAGAAGAGGAUCCAAGGCAAAGACGAGAACAAUAAAAGGAACAAGUCCUUUUAGGAGGAAUUGUGGGUCUUCUUAAUCCUCUAUUGGGCACAAGAAAAAGGCUUUUUUGCCUUUUUCUUGUGUCGAUUCUUCUUGUAUCGAAGUUCGGGCGCGGUAGUGGACAAACAGAGGGAAAGAAGGUAUGGCGGGGGACACAUUUCUUGUGAGCAAAUAGAAUUGCUUUACUUUUUGAAUUAAGUUCAACUUUGAACUUACAGAAAUUUUGUAAAAAAAAAUCUAUACCCUCCCAUGGAAGGGUGGUUUUGAUUUUUAGGCUAGUUGAGUAGUUUUGAUUAAGGUUUUAUUAGUUUAUUACUCUAAACUAAAUCAACGAUUUGCAGGAUACUUCCUUCAUGGAAUAAAAUACUGGAUCCUCUCCCCUCUUUCUUGUUGCUUCAUAAGAGUGAAUCCAUUUUAUGGGCGAAAGGCGGGGGCUUUAAAUCGACCGAUGGAUUGCUUCACUCACUAACAUCAUUAACAAACAAAAGAAUAAAUGGAGGGAUUCCAACCAUCAGAGCAAAGGUUUUCUCUUUGUUAUUUUUACAAAUAGAAAUAGGUAACCAAUUUCUAGAUUAUGGAACAAAACCGCGUUAUAACAAUAAGAAUUCCGCGGGCCCUUUCCGCUCUAAUCAGAUAAAGGGGAGUAAGGACCCGCUAAGUUCCUACUUUUUCAUGUUUACAAUCUGGAUCCUCCGAUUACUAUAGAGAUGAACCCAAUCCAGAAUACGAACCGUAAAAGAAAACACCUAUUAAACCAAUCACAAGAAUACCAGUUACAGUACCUAUCAGCCAAAGAGGAAUUCUUCCAGUAGUAUCGGCCAUUUCCCCUACUUUCCUCCACAUUUUCUCAAGUGGUCAUGCUAGAGACAAAAACAGUCAUGGAUAGUUAUAAAGAUGGUAUCCUUCCAAAUGGGAUAAGAGAAUUCUUACUACUCUCUUUCUUUCUCUCAAUUGAAGAAGUAAUUGGAAAAUAAAACAGCAAGUACAAAAAUGAGUAAUAAACCCCAGUAUAGACUGGUACGAUUCAAUUCAACAUUUUGUUCAUUCGGGUUUGAUUGUGUCAUAGUUCUAUAGUUGGAAUUUGGUUUAUCGUUGGAUGAACUGCAUUGCUGAUAUUGAUCCCAAGAAAAAAACCGUGGGUACAGCUAAUCCGUGAACAGCCAGCCAUCGCACUGUAAAAAUAGGAUAGGUUCGAUCUAUGGUCAUUGGGGGCCUCCUAAAAGGAUCUACUAAAUUCAUCUAGUUGUUCUAAAGAAUCAAAACGGUCGGUUAUUAAUGGAAUUCCUUGUCGGCUUUCCGUGAAAUACUCGUUUGGUCGAGGACUUCCAAACACGUCAUAAGCUAAACCCGUACUGACAAAUAACCAACCCGCAAUGAAUAGGGAAGGUAUAGUAAUGCUAUGAAUAACCCAGUAUCGAAUACUGGUAAUAAUAUCAGCAAAAGAACGUUCUCCCGUGCUUCCAGACAUGCUGAGCUCCCAAAAUUUUUAUUCAAAAAAGGAAUUGAUUCCGUAAAAGAUGGGAUCCACCAGUAAAUAGAAAAUUACUGAUAUUUCAUCCUUGUGAGAUUGUCAAUUUUGUACCAAAGGUGUAUUUUGAGUAUACCGAAUUAGUAUAGCUAUCCUUCCUAUGGCACAGCAAUCCAGUUUUGCUUGGUCCCGAAACAGAAUUCCUUUUUUCUCUUUUUUGUUCCUUGUCUAUAGGAAAAUUACAUGUUAUUCAAGGCAUCAAUAGAACCCCACAAUUUUUUGGGUCCUACUUAUUUUCAUUGUCUUCGGAAUAGUAGAAUAAUUUAAUUUGGAAUAGCGGCCAAGAUCUUGGGAAAAUCUAAGUUAAUGAUUAAUAAGAUAAAGAAUUUAGGAAGGAUAUUCUCAUAUUGACGCAAUACAAAGAUAAGUAUAUGCAAAAUCGAUCCCUUUUUAGUUAAAGGAAUUUAAUUGGUUAGCAUAAAAUAAUAUCUAAUAAAUAGAAAAUCGAAUAGCGGAUAAUCCGUUAUGAAAGAAACGGAAUACAUUCUUUGAAGAAUCAAGAUUCGUAAUCAAUCCUUGUCUUGUUUGUUGGAUUAGGUCUAAUUUUCUUGACCAAACAGCAAGCAUGGAACUUUACAAGAAGAACUUAAAAGAAAAGGAUAAUUGAAGUAACUUUGAAUCCACUUUUGUUGGGGUUCAAAAAACGAAUAAAAAUAAAUAAAAAAAAGUAAAUUUUAGGAAUAGUUCCCUUUUUGAGGGGGCCCCUCGGGGGUCGUGGAAUGCUUUUCUUCUCCUCUUAUUCCAUAUGGAAUACAAUGAGUUAAAAUUUGCUCCAAAAAGAGGAUGAAAUCCAUCCUAUUAAAAAAGAAAUAAUCCGAAUCCGAAAUAGAAAGAAUUUUUUUUUUUUUUUCAAAUUCAAUUCUUUAUUUAUCUUUUAUUCCAAAAUUCUCCCGAAAAUCCAAUUUCAUUUUUCAAUGGGGUUAGAUGAUCUAGUUCUUAAUAUUAUUAGUUUACUUAACUGACAGAUUCCACAACAAAUCUCUUGAUUCGGAAUUAGGGACUCAUGUUCCGUCUGAUGAAUCGAUUUUCUCUUUUUUUUACACUUCUGUAUCUCACUCUAUCUUGUUUUUUAGUAUUAUCUAAAAUAACCGAUGAAUUAUGAAUUUUCCAUAACUUAAACUUAGGUAAGUGCUUUACCAACAUAUGUAGUGUAGUAAAAAAAAUGGAAUUGAACCCCUUCAUGCUUACUAUAACUAGUUAUUUCGGUUUUCUACUGGCUGCUUUAACUAUAACCCCAGCUCUAUUUAUUAGCUUGAACAAGAUACGUCUUAUUUGAAAUGAAUUGAAUAGAAGAAUCUUUCUUUUGGAUUCUUGGUAUUCUAGACUCUUUUCCACACUAAUUACCAAUUCUUUUCUUGGUCAUUGAGAUUCGUGGGUAGUUUAGACUAUUAUUUAGAGAUAGAUCGUACCUCUUUUUUUAUCCCCUCGAACAAAUCGAAAUGAUUGAAGUUUUUCUAUUUGGAAUCGUCUUAGGCCUAAUUCCUAUUACUUUAGCGGGAUUAUUCGUGACUGCGUAUUUGCAAUACAGGCGUGGGGAUCAGUUGGAUCUUUGAUUGAGUAAUAUUUCUUUUUUGAUUGACCUCCUCUCUGGUCUGGAGGAGGUCAAAUUGGAGUUGCAAUUCUACUUUGUUUUUUUUUAAGUUAUUUUAGUUUCGACAUAAGAUAUAUGGAAUCACGCUCUGUAGGAUUUGAACCUACGACAUCGGGUUUUGGAGACCCGCGUUCUACCAAACUGAACUAAGAGCGCUUUCAAAACAAAAAAAAAAAGAAAAUCCUUUUCUAUUCCUAACGUGUCUCACGUCCGUAUAGUAUCCACAAAUUCAAGUUAUACCCACUUUAAUCGAUCUCCCCACUACUGCCCAUAACGAAGAGAGAAUUAAUAGGUAGGGAUGACAGGAUUUGAACCUGUGACAUUUUGUACCCAAAACAAACGCGCUACCAAGCUGCGCUACAUCCCUUUUCCAAAUUGUUGUACAAUGCCAUUGUACACAAUUCCUUUCUUGUUUUCCACAUCGUAAUUUUCUUCUAUUUCUUUAUCCAUAUAGAACUUUCUUGUCAUUUCUUGUUUUUGGUCUCAUAUAAUCAAGGAAGGGGUAUAAACUAAAAUCCAGUCAAAUUUCACCUAUAAAAGAAAGACUACUAUUCCUUAGUAAUGUAUAGGAAGAAGGGGUCAUCUUUUUUAGGGAUAGGAAAAUCUCGUCUAUACGGUUCAUUCUAUAUAUAUAUAAUAUUUAUUUUGUUUUUUUAGUUAGGAAUUUCGCCUAAACAAAAGAAAUACAAAGGAUCUUGGGCAAGAGUAUCUGAUCAUAUAUGUAUUCCAAUACGGAAGGAGGAUUUUCAAUGCGGGAUAUAAAAACAUAUCUCUCUGUAGCACCCGUGCUAAGUACUCUAUGGUUUGGGGCUUUAGCAGGUUUAUUGAUAGAAAUCAAUCGUUUAUUCCCAGAUGCUUUGUCAUUCCCUUUUUUUUAAUUCUAGUUAUUCCUAUGCGAGAGAUAGAAUUCUUCGUGACAUGACGAAAAUUUCCCCUUUUUGAAUUCUUUUUUAGUAUAUGAAGCAAAAA
RNA transcript from Zea mays, 7868 nucleotides. It is a transcript of the gene named cytochrome f, with no coding region annotated. The transcript has 2 exons. Lineage: Eukaryota; Viridiplantae; Streptophyta; Magnoliopsida; Poales; Poaceae. The record is from RefSeq and is a predicted model, not a curated record.